AACCAUUCUCACCUGCGGCUAGACCUGCGGAAGGAUCAUUAACGCGCCGUGAAGGUCAGCCUUAUAUGGGUAGAUCUUUCACCUCGCCCACCCUUGUUUAUAUUUAACUGUUGCUUUGGCGGGCCUGCUAUUUAUAGCUGCCGGGAAAUUUAGAUUUUCGGGCUCGUGCUCACCAAAGUCUUUUAGUGAACUCUGCGUUUGAUUUUUAGCUGUCUGAGAAUAGAAAAAUUCUGAGAAAAA
This 240-nucleotide unclassified non-coding RNA is filed under the name soil metagenome. RNAcentral describes it as "partial contains 5.8S ribosomal RNA, internal transcribed spacer 2, and large subunit ribosomal RNA". The record is from RNAcentral.